This 775-nucleotide ribosomal RNA is filed under the name uncultured Neocallimastigales. Its description in RNAcentral is "partial large subunit ribosomal RNA". It matches the Rfam family "Eukaryotic large subunit ribosomal RNA", at positions 24 to 642 of the family's 3401-position model. Lineage: Eukaryota; Fungi; Neocallimastigomycota; Neocallimastigomycetes; Neocallimastigales. The record is from RNAcentral.
UAUGUGAUCGUCUCUCGCAUAUCAAUAAGCGGAGGAAAAGAAACUAACAAGGAUUCCCCUAGUAACGGCGAGUGAAGCGGGAAGAGCUCAAAUUUGAAAUCUUAAAGGGUUUCCCUUUACGAAUUGUAGUUUAAAGAAGUGUUUUCUGUUGAGGUUUUGGUAAAAGUUCUUUGGAAUAGGACAUCAUAGAGGGUGAGAAUCCCGUAUUUGACCUUUACUUUCAACUUUGUGAUACACUUUCAAAGAGUCGGAUUGUUUGGGAAUGCAGUCCAAAAUGGGUGGUAAAUUUCAUCUAAAGCUAAAUAUUGGCGAGAGACCGAUAGCGAACAAGUACCGUGAGGGAAAGAUGAAAAGAACUUUGAAAAGAGAGUUAAACAGUACGUGAAAUUGUCAAAAGGGAAGCGUUUGACACCAGCUGUUGUUCUUCUGAAAAUCAAUUAAAGAACUGUUUAUGCUAAGUUGUUUAGACUUUAUCAGCUAAUCUGUUUAGUUUUGAGCUUUUCUUUAAUGCACUUUUCAGUUAACAAGUCAACAUCAAUUUCUUUUGCUGUAAAAAAGCUUGAGGAAGGUGGCUUGAGAUUCGUCUUAAGUGUUUAUAGCCUCUUGCCUAUGCAGUCGGAGAGAUUGAGGUCUGCAGCGUAGAUCCUUCGGGGCUAAAUGCAUUUGUGCUAAGUUAUAGCAUUUUAUAGACAACUUGUUGACUAUGAUUUGUCUUGUAGCUUACUCGCUUAUGUUAUUUUACCUACGCUUAGGAUGUUGACACACGCGCGUGCUC